This 161-nucleotide ribosomal RNA is filed under the name uncultured bacterium. Its description in RNAcentral is "partial 16S ribosomal RNA". It matches the Rfam family "Bacterial small subunit ribosomal RNA", at positions 355 to 508 of the family's 1533-position model. The record is from RNAcentral.
UGGGGAAUAUUGGACAAUGGGGGCAACCCUGAUCCAGCGACGCCGCGUGGGUGAAGAAGGCCUGCGGGUUGUAAAGCCCUUUCGGUAGGGACGAAAACUCUCGACCUAACACGUCGGGAGCUUGACUUAACCUACAAAAGAAGCACCGGCUAACUCUGUGC